UUAACAUAAUGAAACACUCUUCUAAUCAGCAAAAAGUAGCAUUAUAUACAUGGAUUGUCAUUCACAACAUUAAAAUUCAUAACAGAAAAGGAGACUUACAAAGAUUCACUUAAAAGAUGUUUCACUUAAAAGAAGAAUAGAUCAAACUCAUAAAAUCAUGAAAAUGAACUUCAGAUGCAUUUAUUCAAUCACUUUAUUCUUACAUUAUUCAAUUAUUACUAAAAUAAGUGAAUAAAUAGCUUUAAAUUAUACAGAAACAUAAUAUAAAUAUAGUGGUGAUCAAGCAUUUGUUCAAAAACACUAUUUAUACCAAUCUUACCUUUAUAAAGAAUUGUUCAGGGCUUGCAGAAUAACAUCAUGUUUAAUAAUUUCAAACUUCUUCCACAAGGGGUCAGCAUUACUCUCUCCAUUUAUGAGUAAUGAGUAUACAAUUUGACAUGAUACAAACAUUUAAAGAGCAACUCUAUGAGAUGAGCCCAAAGUUUUUGAAAGAGUUGAGUGAAUUUUCUGUUCUUUUACCUCAUAGAUCAACUAUGUUUAGAUGGGCUUUGAUUUCUCUGUGCUUCAUAGUACUUUAUGACGUGUCUUCGGGACAGGACAGAGUUGAACAGUCUUCAGAAGAAAUGAC
Cyprinus carpio (common carp) is the source of this 628-nucleotide long non-coding RNA. RefSeq lists it as uncharacterized. Lineage: Eukaryota; Metazoa; Chordata; Actinopteri; Cypriniformes; Cyprinidae. The transcript is spliced from 2 exons. The record is from RefSeq and is a predicted model, not a curated record.